This 84-nucleotide transfer RNA is filed under the name Firmicutes bacterium HGW-Firmicutes-11. RNAcentral's name for it is "tRNA-Leu". It matches the Rfam family "tRNA". Rfam says of the family: Transfer RNA (tRNA) molecules are approximately 80 nucleotides in length. Their secondary structure includes four short double-helical elements and three loops (D, anti-codon, and T loops). RNAcentral also lists the same sequence under 1 other name. The record is from RNAcentral. Lineage: Bacteria; Bacillati; Bacillota.
GCGCGCGUGGCGGAAUUGGCAGACGCACUAGAUUUAGGUUCUAGCGGUAACCCCGUGCAGGUUCAAGUCCUGUCGUGCGCACCA